AGAGCGGCGGACGGGUGAGUAACGCGUGGGUAACCUGCCCUGUACACACGGAUAACAUACCGAAAGGUAUGCUAAUACGAGAUAAUAUGCUUUUAUCGCAUGGUAGAAGUAUCAAAGCUUUUGCGGUACAGGAUGGACCCGCGUCUGAUUAGCUAGUUGGUAAGGUAACGGCUUACCAAGGCGACGAUCAGUAGCCGACCUGAGAGGGUGAUCGGCCACAUUGGAACUGAGACACGGUCCAAACUCCUACGGGAGGCAGCAGUGGGGAAUAUUGCACAAUGGGCGGAAGCCUGAUGCAGCAACGCCGCGUGAGCGAUGAAGGCCUUCGGGUCGUAAAGCUCUGUCCUCAAGGAAGAUAAUGACGGUGCUUGAGGAGGAAGCCCCGGCUAACUACGUGCCAGCAGCCGCGGUAAUACGUAGGGGGCUAGCGUUAUCCGGAAUUACUGGGCGUAAAGGGUGCGUAGGUGGUUUCUUAAGUCAGAGGUGAAAGGCUACGGCUCAACCGUAGUAAGCCUUUGAAACUGUGAAACUUGAGUGCAGGAGAGGAGAGUGGAAUUCCUAGUGUAGCGGUGAAAUGCGUAGAUAUUAGGAGG
RNAcentral lists this ribosomal RNA (593 nucleotides) under uncultured Clostridium sp. RNAcentral's name for it is "bacterial SSU rRNA". It matches the Rfam family "Bacterial small subunit ribosomal RNA", at positions 92 to 704 of the family's 1533-position model. The record is from RNAcentral. Lineage: Bacteria; Bacillati; Bacillota; Clostridia; Eubacteriales; Clostridiaceae.